CCAGACUCCUACGGGAGGCAGCAGUGGGGAAUAUUGCACAAUGGGGGGAACCCUGAUGCAGCGACGCCGCGUGGGUGAAGGAGCACCUCGGUGCGUAAAGCCCUAUCGGCAGGGAAGAAACAGACGGUACCUGACUAAGAAGCCCCGGCUAACUACGUGCCAGCAGCCGCGGUAAUACGUAGGGGGCGAGCGUUAUCCGGAUUCACUGGGCGUAAAGGGAGCGCAGGCGGCACGGCAAGUCCGGUGUGAAAGCCCGGGGCCCAACCCCGGGACUGCACUGGAAACUGCCGGGCUGGAGUGUCGGAGGGGCAGGCGGAAUUCCUAGUGUAGCGGUGAAAUGCGUAGAUAUUAGGAGGAGCACCGGUGGCGAAGGCGGCCUGCUGGACGACGACUGACGCUGAGGCUCGAAAGCGUGGGGAGCAAACAGGAUUAGAUACCCGCGUAGG
This 446-nucleotide ribosomal RNA is filed under the name uncultured bacterium. Its description in RNAcentral is "partial 16S ribosomal RNA". It matches the Rfam family "Bacterial small subunit ribosomal RNA", at positions 331 to 794 of the family's 1533-position model. The record is from RNAcentral.